UUGGCUGCUAGAUAUGGGUGGUCCGAAGACCAGGACCUAGGUACUACUCAUGCUCAUGAUUCCCAUGUGUGGCGUGAUAUCGCCAAGGGGAUCCCCCUCUUUCGGAGCUUAACGCAAGUGGACGUCGGCAACGGCACUUCCACUGCCUUCUGGCUUGAUCUCUGGGUUCCGCGCUCUACAGAUAUUCUCGCUUCACGGUACCCUGCUCUGUUCUCUCAUGUUCUCCGACCCUCGGCUUCUGUUGCCAGGGUUCUAAGCUCACCGGAUCUGUGCCUCGAUCUCGCUCCACGCCUAACUAAUGCUGCUGAACUUGAACUGGGCUGCCUACGCAACUUGCUGGCUUCUGUUUCCUUGAAUUUGCAGGAACUAGACCGCCGAACAGGUCGAUUUGAUGGCAAGCCGCUGACUUGCAACGCGGCAUACAAGGCUAUGUGGGAGGGAGAGCCUGUCGAUCCCUUGGCAAUGGCCAUCUGGAAGAAUUUCGCUCCAAACAAAUGUAGAAUUUUCCUCUGGCUGGCAAACAAGAAUCGUCUCUUCACCAACGAACGGCGUUUUCGUCGAGGCAUCGCUACUUCUCCGGCUUGCCCUCUCUGUCCGGGGACAGAGUCCGUAAACCACCUGCUUCUGCACUGCCCGGAGCUCACUACUCUGUGGAGAGAACUCUCCUCUCUCACUCCAGAUAUUCCCGCAGAUCUUUCGGAUCUUUGGGCCAACGACAUGCAGAAUAAAGUUCACUCUACAAUAAUCAUCGCCAUCCUUUGGAACAUUUGGAAAAGAAGGAAUGCAAAAGUCUUCAGGGACGACACUCAACCGGUUCACCUCAUCGCUCGUUCUGCCGCUGAUGAUGUUCUGCUUUGGUCUAGCAGAUGUACUAAUGAGCAAGCGCAAGNNNNNNNNNNCCGGAUCUGUGCCUCGAUCUCGCUCCACGCCUAA
RNAcentral lists this ribosomal RNA (933 nucleotides) under Triticum aestivum (bread wheat). RNAcentral's name for it is "partial small subunit ribosomal RNA". The record is from RNAcentral. Lineage: Eukaryota; Viridiplantae; Streptophyta; Magnoliopsida; Poales; Poaceae.